Long non-coding RNA from Lycium barbarum (goji berry), 3641 nucleotides. RefSeq lists it as uncharacterized. Lineage: Eukaryota; Viridiplantae; Streptophyta; Magnoliopsida; Solanales; Solanaceae. The transcript has 4 exons. The record is from RefSeq and is a predicted model, not a curated record.
AUUUUGGCUAAGGAUUUCAUAAGGAAACCCUAGCCGCACCCCGCUGCCACCUCACGCUCCAUUCUCUCUCCGCGUCAGCUUGCCAAUUCCGGCAAAGAAUCAUAGAAACCCAGGCUCCCCAGUCCUUUCCAUGGAAAAAUCUAGAAAUGCAUUUAUUGCACCGCAGGGAUUCCUCUAUUCUCUCACCAAACAACAACCAAGCACCGUAAUUCGCGCCGUUUCUUUCACCAUUUUGCUAAUCUCAGAGUCACGCGUUGUAAUUUUCGUCAAUAUCCGUUGUAUUUGUGUUUUGAAAACUCGAUUUCUAUUGGUUGUUGGAUUAUGAACUGGAUCGAUCAAAUUCGAUCUAGAUCUAGCCAUGUAUUUGUUACUUUGGCUUAAUCGUAGCCAUAGAAUCAUGAACCAAACAAAUUCAUCCAGAAACUUGGCAUAGUCCCACAUCGAUUAAACUAGGGUUUCAACCAGCUUUGGGGUUCUAUAAAUAGAACCCCAUUUCUCGAAGUUUCAGACAGACGAAGACACUGAAAAAAAAUCUGAAUUUGAGUUUUCAAACCUAAAAUUUGGAAUUUUAGUUCAAAGUUUUCAAGACUUAACUUUUUUCAAAGUUGAGUCUACUAGUUCAAAGAUUUGAUUUUCUUUGCUUUUGUAUGGCUGAGUUGAGGAGAGGAAGCACCCAGGGCUUUCAAAUCCAUUUUUGUACGCGGCUACACACUCAAAAGGUAAAUUACUAUCUUAUUCUUGUUUUUGCUGUCAAUUCCUGUCUAGUUUGAGUUUGUUGAGUUUUGUUUGAGUCUGAUAAUGUCUAGUAUAGGAGUAUACUAUUGGGUGGCUCAUUGCUUGAUGUUUAGUGUCAUUUUACUUAGUUUAUAACCAGAUGAAUGGAUAUUAGUUCCUGAGACCUAUGUUUAAGUAUCUGUUAGCCUAGAUAACCCAUAAUGAGAUUUCUUUAAGGGCCAAUGGUGAUCCAGGCCAUUGAUAAGGUCAUAUCUGAACAUGAACUCUAAAACUUUAGCUUAACCAAUUAUGUGAGGGCCUGUGUACGCUAAUCUCAAAUGGUGAUUAGUCUAAUUAGAUAAAAAAAAAAACAUGUCAAUUUAAGGUUCCCAGGCUUGUAAUGAAAUUGGAAAUGGCAAUGUGACUUUGUUUCCUAUCAAUAUGGUUAAAAUGGUCCUGAUAAUCUAUGAUGUUAGAAAAGAAAUGAAAUAGUAGUAUCCCUCCCUCAUCUUGGGCACCUAGUCUAAUCAUCUAGAUGUCUAAACAACUUAAAAUAAUAGUCUUUAGUGGCCUGGGAAAUAUGAGUCUGCUUCAUCUUCCUUCUCUUUUGCUUAAACUGUCUAAGGCUAACAUUGAAAUGAUUAAUUGAGAAUUAAACAGGUAUAACUAUCAUUUGGAUUAGCAAGAUAAAAUUUGAACUUUCUCUGCUAGGGACAUGUAUUUGUUUUUCCUUAACUAAUGGAAUCAUAUCCUGUCACAACUGUCCUAUAGUUUGGAAAACCGAUCUUAAGUAAAAACAGUGUAUAGGUUUACUUAGCUUUUAUCAUGGUUUGAUGGGAUCAAAGAUUACUUUACUUGAUAGAAUUCUAGGUUGUUUAAUUGGAAAUACUAGUAUAUGUCAAGGGUUGGUUAAGCAUGUGUCUGAAUUUGGCUCAGUGAUAGUAUUAGGAGAAGCCUGAAUGUGCAUAUGUGAGUUAUAAACCACCUGACAUGAGGAGACCUUUUAAAAGGCAUCCUGGGAGAGGGUCAAGCAUGAAUCAAGUGCAACUUGGGUCAUGGCAUUCGCUUCCAAAUAAAGGAAGCCAUGGUAUGUCCUAUUAUGUCUAUGAGGUAGAGGCUCACUAUGUAUACACUUCUAGCCUUCCAAUUCUUAUCACUGGACUAAGGGAAGAGGAGAUAAAAAAUGAAUUUGUUGGUGUCCAAACAGGCUGUUGUAGUCAAAAAAUGAAAUCUUCCCAUUCUAAGUUAUGGCUUUUUCUAGAAACAGUAAAGGAAUUAGUUAGAAGGAAAUCUUUGGUAAUAAAAUUUAGUCCCGCAAGGAAUGCUAAAAUAGUGAAGUCUUUUUAUCUGUUUGAACCUUUGUGUUAUACCUUGUCUUUAAGAUUGUGCCUGAAGUAAAAAGGACACAAAUUCCAUUUCCGCUAAAACCAAAACCAUGACAAAGCACUGCAUCUUUUUCCUGUACACUUCUUUUAAUUUAUUGAAUUGAUUAGGGCUUGAAUAAACACCAUAUAUCUUCUUUGUCUUCCGGAAUCUGCCUAAGCUUGUGCUCUUCUGUGUCACCAUAUUUGUUAGAGUCUACUGAAGUCUUGUGUCCCCUUUAUUGCUUGAUAUCACAUAGAACCUUAGGAGUCAGUGUACUUGUUUGGAUCUCUGUACCUAUCUCAUGAGCUGACGAGUAUUUGGGCUAUAUUGAACCCGUUUGAGCCAUUGUCCAGCAUUUCAGUUGACUAGUUUGAGUUUGGGUUCGCCUUAGAUCAGGUUUGAACAUUGCUGUAGAAGAAGAUUAAGGAAUCAAAAAUAAGCUUAAGCUUAAAAAGUAGAUUUGAAAUCAAAUAUACAAAGGGAUAUAUACAUACUUAAUAGAAGAGAAGAGAUAUACAUGUGGUAUACACUUGAUAUACAUAUCAGAUGUGUCUACUAUUGGUACAUCAUGUGUAUACAUUAAUAGGUUGAUCCCGUACAGAAUGUAUAUCAACUAUUUUAGGAAUAGAAGACCCAUAAGUUUGAACACUUAGUCAAAAAAAUUAGAAUUAGUAGUGCUUGGGCCUGGCCCAUUUCAUAAUUAGUAUAGAAGCUCCAUAUUCCGCACUUAGAAUAAAAUAAGGGAACACAGGUGGGCUUUGAGGUAGAUGGUAAUGCAACUGGGCUUCCAGCCCAGCUUUUUUUUCUGAAACUGAAUGUGUGUAUAUAUGUUUUACCUCAUGUAUAUAUAUUUUUUGUAGAUUCAUAAUUAUGAUAAGUUCAGUUGUAUUAAUUCUAACUGAGUUUCCCCUUUCUUUUUCCCUCUCCACUGCAUGGGCCACUUGGGCCGAUCCAAGGCCAAAUAGGUCAAUUCUUUCAUAAUUCAAAUGAGUCCAACGAAGAGAAAGGGAAGCAAAUAUUUUAGAUGCGCAUGAGGCCCAGCCACGGGUAAAAAUGGCCAACUAGGAGUUUGGGCUUAGUUGGAUGAGAGUGACGUGAGGGCCGAUGUUCGAUGGUUGUCCCCGAAUCGAGGUUGUGCAUAGCAAUUGUCGAGGUUGUUGCCGGAAUCGUGAGGUAGCAGUUGCUGAGGUUGUUGCCGGAACUGUGAGAGUAUCAGGUCGGAUCCACUUCCGUGACGCGUGGUUGAUAGUCGCUUCAGCUUUCUUUUUGAGUUUCCAGGAGUUCCAGAUAGGAUCGACCUCUGCUUCUCGUGGUUGUUAGUGGUGCGAGAGUUGCAUCUUAGAGUCUUACAGGGUGAGCACGAGGACGUCCGCUGCCUUGGAGAUUCUUCCUUUAUUUUAUGUCUUACUUGCUAUUCCGAGACAUAUUCAGACUAUUGAUGUAUUAUUGAUAUUUCCUGACUCGUAGAUUCUAGUUAGUUGCUCUUAUAUGACUAGACAGAUUUCUGGGGUGGUUUUGAUGUAUUUCGCAUAUUCUAUCUAUUAUUAUUUCAGACUUACAUA